RNAcentral lists this ribosomal RNA (471 nucleotides) under uncultured bacterium. Its description in RNAcentral is "partial 16S ribosomal RNA". It matches the Rfam family "Bacterial small subunit ribosomal RNA", at positions 28 to 507 of the family's 1533-position model. The record is from RNAcentral.
GAUGAACGCUGGCGGCGUGCCUAAUACAUGCAAGUCGAGCGAACGGACGAGAAGCUUGCUUCUCUGAUGUUAGCGGCGGACGUGUGAGUAACACGUGGAUAACCUCCCUAUAAGACUGGGAUAACUUCGGGAAACCGGAGCUAAUACCGGAUAAUAUUUUGAACCGCAUGGUUCAAAAGUGAAAGACGGUGUUGCUAUCACUUAUAGAUGGAUCCGCGCUGCAUUAGCUAGUUGGUAAUGUAACGGCUCACCAAGGCAACGAUGCAUAGCCGACCUGAGAGAGUGGACGGGCACAUUGGGACUGAGACAAGGCCCAGACUCCUACGGGAGGCAGCAGUGGGGAAUUUUGCACAAUGGGGGAAACCCUGAUGCAGCGACGCCGCGUGAUUUAGAAGGCAUUCGGGUUGUAAAAAUCUUUUGUAUAGGAAGAAAAUGACAGUACUAUACGAAUAAGGUCCGGCUAAUUACGUG